Molecule: unclassified non-coding RNA, 258 nt
Filed under: Hevea brasiliensis (rubber tree)
Lineage: Eukaryota; Viridiplantae; Streptophyta; Magnoliopsida; Malpighiales; Euphorbiaceae
Source: RNAcentral
GAGAGGGCACAAACAGCUGAUCCUGUAAGUGUACAUUUUGAGAUAGUUCAUAAUGCUGUACAGGAAAAUUCACCAAUCUAUGUCAUUAUUUUCAGCUAUUUUUCCUUGGAUUCCCCUUCCUCCCAACCUUCUUUUUGUACUCUCCUAUUGAGUUAUUGAAGGAUAAUUAUAUUGAAUGUGAACUCGAUUAUAUUUGUUUGGAUUUUUUUACUUCUUUUAUUAAGAGUCUAAAUAGUCAUAUCACAACUUUCAGCUUUG